Molecule: ribosomal RNA, 256 nt
Filed under: uncultured bacterium
Lineage: Bacteria
Description: partial 16S ribosomal RNA
Rfam family: Bacterial small subunit ribosomal RNA
Source: RNAcentral
UACGUAGGGUGCAAGCGUUUGUCCGGAAUUAUUGGGCGUAAAGAGCUCGUAGGCGGUUUGUCGCGUCUGCUGUGAAAACUCAGGGCUUAACCCUGAGCUUGCAGUGGGUACGGGCAGACUAGAGUGCGGUAGGGGAGACUGGAAUUCCUGGUGUAGCGGUGAAAUGCGCAGAUAUCAGGAGGAACACCGGUGGCGAAGGCGGGUCUCUGGGCCGUAACUGACGCUGGAGGAGCGGAAAGCAUGGGGAGCGAACGGG